Molecule: long non-coding RNA, 222 nt
Filed under: Lathyrus oleraceus (garden pea)
Lineage: Eukaryota; Viridiplantae; Streptophyta; Magnoliopsida; Fabales; Fabaceae
Description: Pisum sativum (pea) long non-coding RNA (PSAT_LNC024638)
Source: RNAcentral
UCAAAGGAUCUGAACAAUAUCAGCCUUGAAGAACUUGUUAGUUCUCUCAGAAGCCAUGAGAUAGAACUAGAGGAGGAUGAGCCUCAGAAAAGGAACAAGUCCGUAGCGCUAAAGUCCAGAUCUGAAAGACGGAAACCUGACAGAACCAAAGCUCUCCAGGCAGAAACUGAAGAUACUGACGAUUCUGAACCAGAAGACUCUGAUGAUGAAGAAGAGUUGUCC